RNAcentral lists this ribosomal RNA (495 nucleotides) under uncultured bacterium. RNAcentral describes it as "partial 16S ribosomal RNA". It matches the Rfam family "Bacterial small subunit ribosomal RNA", at positions 28 to 507 of the family's 1533-position model. The record is from RNAcentral.
GACGAACGCUGGCGGCGUGCCUAAUACAUGCAAGUAGAACGCUGAAGGAGGAGCUUGCUUCUCUGGAUGAGUUGCGAACGGGUGAGUAACGCGUAGGUAACCUGCCUGGUAGCGGGGGAUAACUAUUGGAAACGAUAGCUAAUACCGCAUAAUAGCAGUUGUUGCAUGACAACUGUUUGAAAGGUGCAAUUGCACCACUACCAGAUGGACCUGCGUUGUAUUAGCUAGUUGGUGGGGUAACGGCUCACCAAGGCGACGAUACAUAGCCGACCUGAGAGGGUGGUCGGCCACACUGGGACUGAGACACGGCCCAGACUCCUACGGGAGGCAGCAGGAGGGAAUCUUCGGAAAUGGACGGAAGUCUGACCGAGCAACGCCGCGUGAGUGAAGAAGGUUUUCGGAGCGUAAAGCUCUGUUGUAAGAGAAGAACGAGUGUGAGAGUGGAAAGUUCACACUGUGACGGUAUCUUAACAGAAAGGGACGGCUAACUACGUG